Molecule: small nuclear RNA, 98 nt
Filed under: Catagonus wagneri (Chacoan peccary)
Lineage: Eukaryota; Metazoa; Chordata; Mammalia; Artiodactyla; Tayassuidae
Source: RNAcentral
GUGCUCACUUUGGCAGCAGAUAUAUUAAAAUGGGACAGAGGUACGGAGAAGAUUAGCAUGGCCCCUGCUCAAAGAUGACAUGAAAACUCCACAUUUUU